AACAGUGUGGCGUAGUGGUAAGGCGCAGGGCUUGUAACCAAAAGGUUGCUGGUUCAAUGCCCCACUGAGG
Non-coding RNA from Megalops atlanticus (tarpon), 70 nucleotides. The record is from the annotation of a GenBank genome assembly. NCBI's taxonomy places the organism in Eukaryota, Metazoa, Chordata, Actinopteri, Elopiformes, Megalopidae.